Molecule: long non-coding RNA, 1321 nt
Organism: Aethalodelphis obliquidens (Pacific white-sided dolphin)
Lineage: Eukaryota; Metazoa; Chordata; Mammalia; Artiodactyla; Delphinidae
Exons: 3
Source: RefSeq, a predicted model, not a curated record
CAGGCGGACUCUCAACCACUGCGCCACCAGGGAAGCCCUAUUUUGAUUUUUGUUUGGAAACAUCCAGAGAAGCUGCAUGAUCAGAAUGCAAGGAUCUGCCUACGAGGAUUCUGAGGUCGCCCUGCUUCCAUCUAGUGUUAUCUUCCAGGAGACGGGACUUCCCCUCCCAUUUCCAAUGCUCCAGGACACACAGAGCCAGCCCAUAUGGAGUGAACUCUCCCAGGGUAUUUUUAAAGUCCUAGGUUUUGGAUAACUGCUCAGCUCUGUCUGCCCAGCUGCUCCCUUCUGAGAAGGCCCUGAGCUGCCUUCCUUCUUGAGAUUCCUCACUGGGGUCUUUCUUGUAUGCAGCUCUGACUGUGGGCUGCUGAAUCCAUUGGGGGUAUCUUCAUCUCCAGGGGAGAUUAGGCGAGGUCUGCUAUUAGGGAACUCAGCAGACCCACCUCCAAAUACAGCAGCUGGUGCCCUGAAUGUACAGAGGAAACUAUUUGUUUCCUUAGGAGUGCUUGUACCUUCGAUGAGACAGACCAACAAAGAAUGAAACCGUUUUCAGGACAUUCUAAUUAAUUGCUUAUGCUCAUAAUAGUUGGCAUUUGCAAGCACUUAUUUUAUACCUUCAUGAUGCUGUGGGUUCUACAUAAUCUCAUUUAAUCCUCCUGAGAACCCAAUGCAUUGGAUAGUUUUACUAUUCCUAUUUUGCUGCUGUAGGUAGUGAGACUCAGAAUAUAAAUGAUAUUGUCAAGGCUGAACCCUAAGUGGCAGAGCCAGGGACCAGCCAAUAGAGUGUAAUUCUAAAACAAACAAACAAACAAAAACCCCCAAACUGGUUUGUUAAGUAGAAGUUAGUCAUUUACACUCUUGGGAGUAAGUCACUAUUUCGUUUUAUAUUUAUCACAGUGAGGAAAGAAGAUACUGGUCAUCAUCAGACAUGUGUCCUAGAGCUUUUACUGGCGUGUUGAAAAAUGCAGAGGAUAUAAGGAUGAUUCCCUGGUGGGAGUGGUAAUGGCCAAAGAGGCAUGCAAAAAUCUAGGGAAAACAAAUCAUCCUAAUAUUCCAACAAGAGAAAAGGGAAAGGCAGACAAAACAGAAAUACAUAAAGCAAACAUAUAAACGAAAAGUCUAAUUACAGAGAGGCUCCACUGAUGAGCUCUGAUGAGAAAAGGAGGAUAUCCUCACUUUAUCCCAUAAGUGAGGAUAAAUAGCACCUACGCAUGUACCUGUCGGAAGAGUGUUAUGAUGGGGAAGAGUUUCCACGAUAAGGAAAAGAACUGCCACUGCUCUUAGGAAACAUCCUGACCAGGCCCACCUGUGAAUGACUGCGGGC